GUCCCCCAGCCCUGCAGCUGCAGGAAGUGGCUCAGGUCAGACCACCGCUAAGGUACAUUCCACGUGAGGGCUGGAGAGGGCCAUCGGUGCCUUUACCAACAGUGUUGAUGCCUCACCCUGGGCAUCGGCCAGGCUGGCAGAAAUGUGGCUGGGAGCGGCAGGGACCAUGGAACCAUCGUGGCCUGGGGUGAGGAAGGCGUUGAGCAAUCAUGCUUGGGGACGUUCAGCUCUGGGCUUUAGGAUUCAAUAGGACACCGUAUUGAUGUACAGUUGCUUGCGGUGGCCAUGCUCGUUCCUGUAGAUGAGCUCUUUUGAUCCUAAUGGCAAUAUAGCCAAGAAAACAGGCAAGUGUUCCUACAGGCCACAUUCUCCCAGCUGCUGACUGGUGGAGGUGAGCUGCAAGGAGCUGCCCCCAGGCGCGACGAAGAUUUAAGAUGCCAGUGAGUGCCCGCCUGAGCCUGCCUAGGGCCCCCGAUGCCAUCCUUCAGGCUCCCUGGGUUGACGCAGCCCUGGGCUCUCUCCAUGCUGGAAAGGCGACAACAUUCACAUGCCCUGCAGUGUUCAGUCUUCAGCACUUCACAGCCAUGGCCCACCCUCCCACCAGCAAUUUAAGCCAGCUCCAGAGCCAAUGCCACCUGCCGUGCACAGGGUGAUUUUUCCAAGCUGAAGCUGUGGGUAGAACUUUCAGUCUUCACCUCAAAAUGCAGCCCUGCUGGGUGCAUGGACGAAGCCAGAGUCGAAGGAGUCGGGGGUCACAGCCAACACCUUCCAAUAAGACACUGUCCAUGACCUUGUGUCACUGGAUCCUUGGCCACACGCAACCAAUAUCGUCCUGGGUUUUCAGUGGCUCAGUAAUUUACUUUGAGCUUCGGAACCGCAAAGAGGUGGAGCCAAGAUUAAACCUGGUCCUUCUAGACAUGGGUUCUGGAUGCCUCCACCAUGCCUUGAUACUGAAGGGUCCCUACGUACACCCCUCUUAUUUACGAUGGAGUAUUCUGGCUGUUACUCAGUCCCUUCAUUCCAACUUCUCCUUGAUUGUGCUACCCAGAACCACGUCUGCACAUCUGCUAGAGUUGGUUGUUGAUGGCAUUGAUCCCACUCUCGUUACAUGACUGAUCAGUAAUUAGGCUGAGCUAAAAUUAAUUCACAGUCUCCAGAGCCCAGCCCAGAGGCUCCCCCUAGAGACAUCUGGCUUAUGCUUACUGGUUGGAUGAGGUGGGUGCAAGGUGGAUGAGUGUCUUUGUUUAUUUGAGCUGCUAUAACAAAGCUCCACUGACUGGGUGGCUUAUCAAUAAGACACGUAUUUCUCCGUUUUGGAGGCUGGAAGUCUGAGAUCAGGGUGUUGGCAUGGCUGGGUGCUGGAGAUGCCCACUUCCUUGUUGCAGACAACCAGCGUCUCAUUGUAUCCUCCCACGGUGGAAAAACAACAAGAGAGCUCUCUGGGGUCUUUUUUAUAGGGGUCCUGUCCUAGUCUGUUUUGUGUUGCUAUAAAGAAAUACCUAAGACUGGGUAAUUUAUAAAUAAUAAAAAAGUUUAUUUUUCUCGGAUU
Molecule: long non-coding RNA, 1549 nt
Filed under: Homo sapiens (human)
Lineage: Eukaryota; Metazoa; Chordata; Mammalia; Primates; Hominidae
Description: HSALNT0000932
Source: RNAcentral